GCAAACUUUGCGCUCUUUUGGGUAAAUUGCUGUCCACUACAUAUACACAGAAUCUGCACAGUAUUUCAGAUCUAAAAAGGGAGUAUGUAAUGGACUUGCUGGCUUUAAUGUAAAAAGCCUGUUGUGUAACUUUAAUGAGGCAGUUGGACUAAAACAGUAUUGCUCAUCAAGGUAAACAUCUGAGGAAUAAGGAAAUUGUUACUUGUCCUUUUACUCAGUGUUCUUUUAAUCGCACAUUUACUAAAGUUUUACAUCACAUAAGUCAUUUUCACAAUCAUUCUACUUUAAAAGAUUUCAAGACAGAGCUUAUUGUUCUCUGAACUUCCUUGUUUGCUGAACGGCAGGUUGAAGCAGAAUUUGCCCGUCUUACAUCUGUUGACCUGAAAGGGUUCCUUUUUGCUGUGCUUGACCAUUAUGGAGAGGUUCGUGGAGCUGUACAAAAUCAAGAGCGGCAUAGGAGGGCUAACGAGGCUCAUAAGAUGCUUCAGUGAUGAUAGCCCUACACAAAGGAAGAGGACAGAGGACCUCAUUUUCUAAAGGAAGAUCCUCACACACUUUCAAGACUGUGAAGCCGACAGGUAUUGAAGACACGUUUUCUAAGAGGAUGAAAGUUGGCAUUGUGAUGGUGAAAGAAGAAGACAUCAUCGAUGUGUUGAUUGUCCUUGAGGCGGCAGUAAUCCUGUCUAAUCUGAGGGAUGUCUCAAGUGCCAUUUCCAUGCUGAUGGGCCUUCUUUUUGCCCUCAACAUAGACUAUCCAAAGGAACUUAAGGACAUCUUUGAAGUCAUUCAGAACAUCCUAAUGAACAUUGGUGGAAGG
This is a long non-coding RNA of Oreochromis aureus, 817 nucleotides long. The record is from Ensembl. NCBI's taxonomy places the organism in Eukaryota, Metazoa, Chordata, Actinopteri, Cichliformes, Cichlidae.